GUUUUUGGCUGCUUGCCUUCAAACUGCAAACUGGAAUACUUCAUCCUUUAAAAGCUUAAUAACCCGAAAACCCACCAGGAACCUAGAAUACCCGUAGUUCUCAGCCUAAAAGCUUGAGGAUGGAUAGAACAGAAAUCUAAUGUGCUUGACCUUCUCACCUCCUGCUUCUGGUCCGUGCCUCCCAUUACACCCACUCAAAGCCUCAGUGAGGCCCAAACCAUGGAAGACUUCUGCUGACAGAUGUCUCCAGAAUAGCUACUGUUCAUCUCACAGGCAAUUGAGCCCUCUAGGUCAGAGGUCCUCAAAGUGUGACUACAGUCCCCAUAAUGAGACUACCAGCAUCAGUAUCACCACCACCUGGGAACUUAUUAGAACUGAAAUUCUUGGGUCCCACUCCAGACCUCCUUAAUCAGAAACUCGGGGGGUAGAAUCCAGCAAUCUGUGUUUGAACAAGCCCUCCAGGUGAUCUGGAUGCUUGCUAAAGUUUGAGAACCACUGGUCUGGGUAAUUGAACCAACGGCAUUUGGCUGUAAUCCAUGGAGAAAUUUAUAGCACUAGGGCAAUCACUAACCUCAGUCUUGGGAAUUACGGGAGUUGGUAAACUCAUUUCAAAGGAACAAUAUUCACCUUUGAAGGUACUUGGAUGGCUGGCUGUGUGCAUUUGGAAAUAUACAGUGUUCUCCUCCCAUGGGGCUCAAGGAAGCUAAAGAAAAUCAGAGGAUUCUAAAUGCCAUUGUCCUCAUCCUAUCGCCUCCCUGCUUGCUCAGCUCCAACCCCACCUGUCUUUCUCACGUUGAACUAGCUUUAAGGAGAAGAGACACAAUUGCCAGCAGGUGAAAGGUAUCUGGGGAUCACUCGAGUUUCAACUGAUCGAGGCUGGGCUCAGCUUACCUUGGCUCCUGGUAGUGAGUUGGGUCCAGAUCUUCUCUACAUGUCUUCAUCACCUUUGAAUAAGCAAAUACUCAAGGCAUGAUCUUCUCAUAGUGGAAAGGAAGAUUAGCCUGGAGCUAACAUGUGCUGCCAAUCCUCCUCUUUUUGCUAAGGAAGACUGGCCCUGAGCUAACAUCUGUGCCCAUCUUCCUCCAGUGUAUAUGUGGG
RNAcentral lists this long non-coding RNA (1098 nucleotides) under Equus caballus (horse). Its description in RNAcentral is "lncRNA (ENSECAG00000045933.1)". The record is from RNAcentral. Lineage: Eukaryota; Metazoa; Chordata; Mammalia; Perissodactyla; Equidae.